Phyllosticta citrichinensis is the source of this 86-nucleotide non-coding RNA. NCBI's taxonomy places the organism in Eukaryota, Fungi, Ascomycota, Dothideomycetes, Botryosphaeriales, Phyllostictaceae. The record is from the annotation of a GenBank genome assembly.
GCGUUGGUGGUUUAGUGGUAAAAUUGAUCGUUGCCAUGCAUCUUUGCAUUCUCGAUCAGCCCCGGGUUCGAUUCCCGGCCGACGCA